GGGUAUGAGGUCGAUCUGGCUGUGACAUCUGUCACCUCACUGAUCACCAGGGUGGAAUGGGCUGACCUGGCUGGCUAGGCGAUGUCCCCUCCCUCCCUGAGUGUUCCAAGGAUGCCCCCGCAGUGUCCCUCCUCAAGCUGUGUGUUUUGUUGAAGAGGAUGACCACCCUUACAGAGGAGGACCGCGCCUUGGUCAACGGUAGCUGUGCGCCCCCGCUAGAACCUCCAGACAAGCUCUCAAGAACUGAACAGUUUAAUACCCCUCACCCUUAUUUUAGAGACCAUUUGUUAAAAUAUUCUGUUGCCUCAGAGUUUUAUGAUAAACGUGUUUCAAGUUUAGGAAU
Molecule: unclassified non-coding RNA, 343 nt
Organism: Cavia aperea (Brazilian guinea pig)
Lineage: Eukaryota; Metazoa; Chordata; Mammalia; Rodentia; Caviidae
Gene: 7SK
Rfam family: 7SK RNA
About the family: 7SK was discovered as an abundant small nuclear RNA in the mid-70s but a possible function has only recently been suggested. Two independent studies have found that 7SK RNA binds the CDK9/cyclin T complex (known as elongation factor P-TEFb).
Source: Ensembl